This is a non-coding RNA of Labrus bergylta (ballan wrasse), 399 nucleotides long. The record is from RefSeq and is a predicted model, not a curated record. NCBI's taxonomy places the organism in Eukaryota, Metazoa, Chordata, Actinopteri, Labriformes, Labridae.
ACAAAUUUAUUACAAUUAGGUGUGCAGCAAGGAUGUUCUGAAAUGAGUGUCAGGAGAUUUUGUGCACAUCACAACAUUUCCAGGAGGGGACAUGUAUCCGACACACAAUUAGAGGUUGCUAUCAGCAGAGCAAUAAAUCAGACAGGGUCAACAUAUGGUCGAAAGAUGAUGACCGGGUACCUGUCUGCAAUGGGAGUGGUUGCUGGUGAACGCCGGGUGGGGAAGAUUUUGAGAACAACUCAUUGUCCCUAUCACGAAAUGCGCAAACGUGGUGCACGUAACCUUAACCCCGUCCCCUACAGUGCUGCAUACAUGGGACACAAAAUCCACAUCGACCAGAAUGAAAAAUUGGUCAUGUUUGGAGUGACACAUGUUCUCGCAAAAGAUGGGUACAGCAGU